This 616-nucleotide ribosomal RNA is filed under the name Fasciola gigantica. RNAcentral describes it as "partial large subunit ribosomal RNA". It matches the Rfam family "Bacterial large subunit ribosomal RNA", at positions 1750 to 2642 of the family's 2925-position model. Lineage: Eukaryota; Metazoa; Platyhelminthes; Trematoda; Plagiorchiida; Fasciolidae. The record is from RNAcentral.
UGUUAUGAUUCAUUGUUUGUAGUUUUUAUGUGGUUUAUGUGGGUCUACUUUUGGUUAAUAUGGUUGGAUAAUGGUAGAAUAAGUAGGUGUUGUGAUUGGUCUUGUUUUUUCUCGGCUGUUCUCGGUCUGUUUAUUAAAAACAUUUCUAUUCGGAUUUAUGGAUAGUAGUGCCUGCCCAGUGCUUUGUAAAUGGCCGCAGUAUUUUGACUGUGCUAAGGUAGCAUAAUUAGUUGCCUCAUAAUUGGAGGAUUGUUUGAAAGGUUUGACUUGGGAAUUUGGCUAGAUUAGGACUUGGGCUGAAAUUGGAGUUGGGGUGCAGAUCCCCCGGUUUGUUAAUAAGACGGAAAGACCCCGAGAUCUUUAUAUUGUGUUAUUUGUUUGGGGCAAAAUGUUAUGUUUUAUGUGAUUUUUGAUCCUAAAGGAUAGAAGGUUUGAGUUACCUCGGGGAUAACUAGGUAAAAAAUAAGGAGAGGUCGGAUCGAUUUAUUUUAUUGCUAUCUCGAUGUUGACUUGGGGAAAAAUAAAGGGGUGUAGGAGUUUCUUUGUUGGGUCUGUUCGACCGUAGUUUCCCUCAUGAGUUGAGUUAAGACCGGUGUGAGCCAGGUCGGUUCUUAUU